CACUCUUUGAAAAAUAAAAGUAUGAAUUAUAUCACAGGUAAGUUACAAUAUGAAGAGCUUUUGUCAAUGCAAAAUGUUCUGAUCAUAAAUCAGGUAUUAUCAAGGAAGAUAAAGAAGCUCAAAUGAUGGUGAAAGAAAUACUCCAUGAACGGUUGUGUUCGGCUGGAAUCCACGGAGGAGAUGAUGCCCGAUGCUAGGGCGUACCUGAAAACACUCUGCACUCAAGUCAGUAUAUAUGAUUGAGUUGGGUAAGAGGUCUAGAAUAAGACAUAUCUUAAUAGGUGAUGAUGUGAGACAUACCUUAAUCAGAUUUCACAGUAAGUUUGUAGUCGAAAACAUUGACAGAUAUAUUGUCCACGAUAUCAUGCUUUCCAAAAACAGCCAAGAGCAUCCAACAAUAACAAAUAGGGCAAUCCCUCAUGUCCAACCCCAAUUGGAAAAGAUAGCACUGACUACUGAGGAGUACUUAACACAUUUACAAGUAGAUAUUUACGGUUCAAUAACCAUGCUUCAGCCAACUAGAUAUAUAACUCAAUAAAUAUAACUCUGUCGCAUAAGUGGUAAGAUCUAGCAUACUGUUUCCGAUUUCCAUGUGCAAGUUGGGCUUCAUGAACCCAACUUGGAGUCUCACAUCGGAAGUCAUGAAUCCGGUGUGAGAGUUUAUAUAGGAUUGGACAAUCCUCCCCUUUGAAUCAUGGUUUUGAGGUGGAGUUAGGUUCAGUCUGUAUCAUUUGAACCCAACUUGGACAUGGAAAUCAGUAACACAUACAACUG
Molecule: long non-coding RNA, 774 nt
Filed under: Trifolium pratense (red clover)
Lineage: Eukaryota; Viridiplantae; Streptophyta; Magnoliopsida; Fabales; Fabaceae
Description: long non-coding RNA (TPRA_LNC013717)
Source: RNAcentral